This 69-nucleotide transfer RNA is filed under the name Marmota marmota marmota (Alpine marmot). It matches the Rfam family "tRNA". Rfam says of the family: Transfer RNA (tRNA) molecules are approximately 80 nucleotides in length. Their secondary structure includes four short double-helical elements and three loops (D, anti-codon, and T loops). Further hydrogen bonds mediate the characteristic L-shaped molecular structure. tRNAs have two regions of fundamental functional importance: the anti-codon, which is responsible for specific mRNA codon recognition, and the 3' end, to which the tRNAs corresponding amino acid is attached (by aminoacyl-tRNA synthetases). tRNAs cope with the degeneracy of the genetic code in two manners: having more than one tRNA (with a specific anti-codon) for a particular amino acid; and 'wobble' base-pairing, i.e. permitting non-standard base-pairing at the 3rd anti-codon position. RNAcentral also lists the same sequence under 1 other name. The record is from Rfam by way of RNAcentral. Lineage: Eukaryota; Metazoa; Chordata; Mammalia; Rodentia; Sciuridae.
GGGGUUGUGGCUCAGUGGUAGAGUGCAAGACUUGCGUGUUUGAAGCACUAGGUUCCAUCCUCAGCACCA